AACGAACGCUGGCGGCAUGCCUAACACAUGCAAGUCGAACGAGACCUUCGGGUCUAGUGGCGCACGGGUGCGUAACGCGUGGGAACCUGCCCUUAGGUUCGGAAUAACUCCCCGAAAGGGGUGCUAAUACCGGAUAAUGUCUUCGGACCAAAGAUUUAUCGCCUUUGGAUGGGCCCGCGUUGGAUUAGCUAGUUGGUAGGGUAAAAGCCUACCAAGGCGACGAUCCAUAGCUGGUCUGAGAGGAUGAUCAGCCACACUGGGACUGAGACACGGCCCAGACUCCUACGGGAGGCAGCAGUGGGGAAUAUUGGACAAUGGGCGAAAGCCUGAUCCGGCAAUGCCGCGUGAGUGAUGAAGGCCCUAGGGUUGUAAAGCUCUUUUACCCGGGAUGAUAAUGACAGUACCGGGAGAAUAAGCUCCGGCUAACUCCGUG
This 433-nucleotide ribosomal RNA is filed under the name uncultured bacterium. RNAcentral describes it as "partial 16S ribosomal RNA". It matches the Rfam family "Bacterial small subunit ribosomal RNA", at positions 29 to 507 of the family's 1533-position model. The record is from RNAcentral.